AUUGAACGCUGGCGGCAUGCUUUACACAUGCAAGUCGAACGGUAACAGGCCUUCGGGUGCUGACGAGUGGCGAACGGGUGAGUAAUGCAUCGGAACGUACCCAGAGGUGGGGGAUAACGCAGCGAAAGCUGUGCUAAUACCGCAUGUGAUCUGAGGAUGAAAGCGGGGGACCGAGCAGCAAUGUUUGGCCUCGCGCCUUUGGAGCGGCCGAUGUCGGAUUAGCUAGUUGGUGGGGUAAAGGCCUACCAAGGCGACGAUCCGUAGCUGGUCUGAGAGGACGACCAGCCACACUGGGACUGAGACACGGCCCAGACUCCUACGGGAGGCAGCAGUGUGGAAUUUUGGACAAUGGGCGCAAGCCUGAUCCAGCAAUGCCGCGUGCGGGAAGAAGGCCUUCGGGUUGUAAACCGCUUUUGGCAGGAACGAAACGGUGUCCGCUAAUACCGGGCGCUAAUGACGGUACCUGCAGAAUAAGCACCGGCUAACUACGUG
Molecule: ribosomal RNA, 492 nt
Filed under: uncultured bacterium
Lineage: Bacteria
Description: partial 16S ribosomal RNA
Rfam family: Bacterial small subunit ribosomal RNA
Source: RNAcentral